Molecule: ribosomal RNA, 253 nt
Filed under: uncultured bacterium
Lineage: Bacteria
Description: partial 16S ribosomal RNA
Rfam family: Bacterial small subunit ribosomal RNA
Source: RNAcentral
UACGUAGGGCGCAAGCGUUAUCCGGAAUUAUUGGGCGUAAAGAGCUCGUAGGCGGUUUGUCGCGUCUGCCGUGAAAGUCCGGGGCUCAACUCCGGAUCUGCGGUGGGUACGGGCAGACUAGAGUGAUGUAGGGGAGACUGGAAUUCCUGGUGUAGCGGUGAAAUGCGUAGAUAUCUGGAGGAACACCGGUGGCGAAGGCGGCAUCCUGGACCGGUAUUGACGCUGAGGCGCGAAAGCUAGGGGAGCAAACGGG